CUAGCGGCAGGCUUAACACAUGCAAGUCGAGGGGUAUAUUUCUUCGGAGAUAGAGACCGGCGCACGGGUGCGUAACGCGUAUGCAAUCUACCUUUUACAGAGGGAUAGCCCAGAGAAAUUUGGAUUAAUACCUCAUAGUAUAUAGACUCGGCAUCGAGAUUAUAUUAAAGUCACAACGGUAAAAGAUGAGCAUGCGUCCCAUUAGCUAGUUGGUAAGGUAACGGCUUACCAAGGCUACGAUGGGUAGGGGUCCUGAGAGGGAGAUCCCCCACACUGGUACUGAGACACGGACCAGACUCCUACGGGAGGCAGCAGUGAGGAAUAUUGGACAAUGGGCGCAAGCCUGAUCCAGCCAUGCCGCGUGCAGGAUGACGGUCCUAUGGAUUGUAAACUGCUUUUAUACGAGAAGAAACACUGCUACGUGUAGCAGCUUGACGGUAUCGUAAGAAUAAGGAUCGGCUAACUCCGUGCCAGCAGCCGCGGUAAUACGGAGGAUCCAAGCGUUAUCCGGAAUCAUUGGGUUUAAAGGGUCCGUAGGCGGUUUAAUAAGUCAGUGGUGAAAGCCCAUCGCUCAACGGUGGAACGGCCAUUGAUACUGUUAAACUUGAAUUAUUAGGAAGUAACUAGAAUAUGUAGUGUAGCGGUGAAAUGCUUAGAGAUUACAUGGAAUACCAAUUGCGAAGGCAGGUUACUACUAAUGGAUUGACGCUGAUGGACGAAAGCGU
Molecule: ribosomal RNA, 725 nt
Filed under: uncultured soil bacterium
Lineage: Bacteria
Description: bacterial SSU rRNA
Rfam family: Bacterial small subunit ribosomal RNA
Source: RNAcentral